Non-coding RNA from Anas platyrhynchos (mallard), 6993 nucleotides. Lineage: Eukaryota; Metazoa; Chordata; Aves; Anseriformes; Anatidae. The record is from RefSeq and is a predicted model, not a curated record.
GGAACACUGACAGGCCUUAACUGCCCUGCCCAGCCUCACCUGGGGCUUCCUCCCACCCCCUGCCCACUGGCCUUGGAGCCCUAUUUAAGCUCUGGCCUGGGCAGCCAGCUCUCCCCUGAGCGAUGCUGUGGGUGCAGCAGUGUGCUGUUCUUUCUCCUGCUUGCUGACUGGAUUUCCCAGGCUGGUCCCUGGGACAGCUGGACCCUGGUGACAAUCGCACAGUACCCUGCAGACAUAGCGGCAAUGCCUGUUCAACACUGGCUCUGGGCUAGGACUGAAGGUCCCUGAGCAGGGCAGUGGAAUUCUUGUGUACACCCAGGAGCAGGCUGUGUAAGGUUGUUUUUGUGAACAUCCUGGAUGCGUUGUCCAAAAGCCUCACAUCAGGGCAAGAACGUGAGCACAUCCAGGCAAAGCUGUGUUAGAGGUUUGGUUCCUCAGCCUGAUUUUAAUCAUCUCACAUCAUCUUCCCCCCAGCCAGCUAGUGUUAGAUAUAACCUGCCUUCUCUAAAAGGCAGUGCAAGCAGUGCUCAAGCAUUGUUUACAGUGCAGGGAUUUUUAAUGGUCCCUCCACUUGUCUCUGUUGCUGUUUGUUAAUGGGAAUUGCUUCGGCUCAGUUCUGUACUUCCCAGGCAGGAUCAUCCCUUACCUUGAAGAAGUUCUCCAGGACAUAGUUAACAGCAAUCCAAUUGAAUACUUCUUUGUUUAGACUGGACAGGAUUUGUGCCCCCUGAAAGUCAAAGGGCGUUGACUUCAGGGCCACAGUCAGGGCUGCGAGGAGAUCGUCAGAGAAGGUGGGAUGGCUGAGGCUAGACAGAAAAGAAAAAGAAGGCACAAUUGCUGUUACAGGGCCUUGCCAGGAGCAGCCCACAGAGUGCACAGCUGCAGGACAUCUGCUGUGCUCCCUAUUUUGGGUGGCAGCACUGUGAGGCACAACGAUAAUCCUCAUCCUGCUGCUGCUUCCCUCUCCCCUCGCACAGCACUGGUGGCAACAACAGCCUGCGCAACGAAAAUGCAGAGGGAAGGUUUGAGCAGCUGUGCCACCAGUCAAGAAUCUGGGAGCUUAGUACCCACUGACACUGAGGGAUCCUGUGGCCUUGCCAUCAGACUCCAGACUUUACUUUUCCCCAAUGUCCAUAAGGAGCCAGAGGUCCCAGUGAGGUGACUGAGAACAGGUCCAGUAUGUAGGGUGGACCUUCCCACCACUGCUCCCAACCUGCUGCCAAGAAGCACCACUGCACACUCACGUGGAUUGCCAUUAAAGCUAAAAACACUUCAGCUUCCAGACUGACAGAUGCUUCCCCCAGCCCUGAUUGUGAAGGGACCAGUGGCAGUAGCAAGACUGUCGUCUUCAUGGCUGCUUUGGGGCACAGGGUAUGGACACAGCCAUGCCGUGCUCCCCUCCAGUACAUGGGGAGCUGAAGAAGGUUUACCUGACCAGCAGAUUAGGGAUGAAACACUGCAGAGCAGACAGGGUGAGACUCAUUUACAGACUGAUCCACAUGACGUAGUGCUGAUCUCUGGGUGUGGGUUUGCAACAUGCACUCACUUCAGCUGCCUCGUGCUGGUGGUUGCUCCCAGGUAGAGGGGAGUUUGGCUGUGCUGCUCUGCUGGGAUCCUUUUCUGGGCCCAGUUCAAACAUGUAUCCAAGCUCUUCCCUACUUUCUGAGGUGAAUCUGAGUAGCUGGAGAUUCCUGGACCUGGGGAUCAGGGGAAAGAAUGGAAUUUUCUAGUGGCAAGAUGUGGGAGAAGUUGUGGGAGGUGUUACUAGAGGGCGUGCUGUCCUUCAGGACAUGCACAAAGCCAGGAUCUGUCACAGGUGGAACAAAGGAGCUCCCACUUCUUCCAUUUCUCUCUUCUGGGAGUAAAAUGGUCAAUAUGUAAAUACCAAAUUACAUUCAUCUAACCUCAGCUGUGCUGCUAAGAUACCCUGUAAAUGACCAUGCGCCAGCCACAUGACUGCUGCAACAGCUGAGGCUGUCUCAGCUCAGAGGAAAAAAUAUAAGUGCUAUAAAAGAUAAGCAAAGGGCACACUGCCACGCAGGCAGCAUCGAAAGUGAUGUCAUCUCCUUCCUCCAGCCACUUCCUUCUGUGUUGGCGGAGGUGGCUUGUGAACCAGCUAUCUACCACCAGGGCACCUCUGCUCUAGAGGAAGCUGGUGCUGUGCAGACAGAAGCUGUGUGCAAGCCUUGACUCAUCUUUCCGAGCGAGAUUCAAUGUGGUCUGAAAUGUUGGUUUUGAACAACCAUCCAGAAAAAGCCUGGCUUCCCCAGCCUCUGGCCCUCUCGCCUUGCUGGCUGCGUGACUCCCUCCCCAGGGGCUUUGCUCUCCUGGGCCCCGUAUGGAGCUGAGCUGCAGCCUGCUUGUGGCCACUCACACAGUGACCGCACUGCCACACAGACCAAGGGCUGCCUCUCACAUGUGAAAAGAGACCCUGCAGACAGGGAAUUCUUGCUGCUGCUGACACCCUGCUGCAGCAGCUUCAAGUAAGUGUUCAAGCAUGGAGCUACAGUUAGUUUUUUAACCCAGCCUGAGACCGUGGCAGCAGUCAAGACAAACACAAGGUUUCAGGGAGCUCUUAGUGCACCAUCUGUGUGUGGUUUGUUUCGCUAGCAGCCUGCAAGAGCAUCCCUUCCCUGCUUGUUGCGAGGCUGCCCUGCUACUGAGAGUUCAGGGCUUCCCAGCAUUCUGCUGUAAUCAUGCCUCAACAUCAAAGCAAGAUUUAGAGAUAGGGAAGAAAAACCCCAAGCGCAUUAAAGCACAAAACUCUUUUAGCUGGCACCCGUGGGGCUUAGGCGACCCAAACUAUUGAGGAAUACCCCAGUAUUCUCCAAAAUGUGACACCUAAAGCCACGCUGAACUCAUACGUUUGGUAUCAAAGGGGUUGGAGCUGUCAUGCCUCCUGUGAGGCUACACCACUCACUGCCCAGAGUACAGCUGGGAGGAGGAAAAAGUUACCAGGAGCCUCCCUGCAGCCAGACUUGUCUCCAUUGCUGUUCACCAUCUCCCCUGGAUGAGGACCUCAGCAACCCUGGCUUGUCCACUGACCCACAGUGGAUGUUGGAACCACCCCUCGGUGUGCUCCCCCAGCUGUAGCAAGCCACCGAAGCUGUCAUCUGCUACUGAAGUGCUCUGACACUCAGCUGUGUAUAGAUAAAUCUGCCCACGCUGAGGAAGACCCAUGCUGAAAAUAAGCAGCCUGCGCUUCACUGUUGCCAACAUUUCAGGUUUCAGCUAGAUGAUACAGGAGCUGAGGAAAUCGCAGCAGUGGACCACACACAGAUCUCUCCAUUUUGUUCCAUCCUGUGCUAAUCCCAGAGCCCAGAAUUCAUGGAUCGGGCACCUUACCUGGCACGACACAGGAACUGCACUCUGUGAUAACCCCAGUCUUGUUUGCCUUGGUAGUGGUCCAGUGGUAGAUGAACAGGACAGGUGCGGGAUGGGCCAGCAUCCAGGACAACGCCAUACUGGAAAACCCCGAAAGCAUUCUAAAUAAACACUGAAUGCACAAUUCUUUGUUAUUGUAGGGCCGUUCAUUGUUUUGUAGGUACUCUGGGUGACCCAUGGGCCUACACAGCAGUAUUUGAUUUAGCUUUUUAUAUUCAAAGAAAGAGUGAAGGCAGGAGAUGACGAGCAUUUAGAGUGAAGCAUCUGCAUUUCUGAAUAUAUACACGAGGAGCAGCAGAAGUGGAGAAACACCCAGAAAUACAUAAUUUCUGUAGUGGCAUGCUCUGUGGAUGUUCCUGAAACCAAGCAGAGGGCUUCCAUGGCAAGCCGAGCCAUCUGGAGCUUGGGAAAAACAGGUCCUAGUGCAGUGGGAGACGGAACUAUACAGUUUCGCAGCUGAAUCUGGGACUCAGAUUGCUGCUGGGUUAAUAUGUUAGAGAAAGAAGCCUUUCAUGCAGAACUUGGAGGGCUGUGGCUUUCUGCUGCUUCUAAGGAACCCGAGACUCACUUCCCUACUGGAGAUAGUGCAGCAUGGGUUGGGUUUGCCCUGAUGUGUGCCAGAUCUGUUCGAGCCGCAGCGUACUUCGGACUAACCAUCUCAUGCACUGUCCCAGUGCAGCCGUCCCAUGCAGACUGAGAUGAUGUCUUGGCAGGAACAGCAGCAGCCUGUGUGAGAUUUCUCAACACCUUGUGCACUGUCAUUUCUCCUACUGCCUAGUAGUGAGGCUGAGGGUUUUCUUAGUCUCCUUGCAGCCCAGGGAUCUGGUCUGUUUGCCACUAAUUGAACUUGGCAGUGCUGCACCUGGUACAUGAGGGUUAGGAAAGGAGAGACCACAGGGGUACCCUGCAGUGCAGCUCUCAAAAUGCCCUUAAAAUAGCACUCGUGCUAGCCUUGGGUAUCGCUUCCCCAUUCCAGUCUGGGACAUCUACACAGGAAAGCAGUGUAGAUCUGGGAGUUAUGCGGUAGUGUGUGGUCUAAGCUGCAUCUUCUACAGAAAUACUCAUAGCUGUCACUGAGUGGGAGGAGAAAGCUCUGGAGAGGCCUCUAGAGAGGCUGGUGCUUGCAGUGUCGGAAGGGUUUUAGCAGAAGAUGGAGUCUGGCUCAGCCCUGCCUGCUGCCAGCUGCCUGCACCCUUCCUGGGAGCUCCCGGGCUCGGUGCUGGGGCUGGAGCUGGUGCGGCUGGAGCCUGAGCAGAAUGCGGAAAGGGGACGCAGCUCCCUGCCCGAGCCUGCUGGCAUCCUCCCACACGAGUGACAGCUCGUAUUUCUGGCAGGGACAUGUCAGCUGCCGCAGGAGAGGAGGAAACAAAUGGUCUUGGUGGAGAAGCCGGGAUUUUUCCUCCCUCACAAAAUGAGAGAGCGCUGCUGGGAGCGCAAGGCAGGGGAGAGGAUUGCUGCUUUAGUGCCACAGCUCAGCAUCAGGGAAGGAAAGAGGUGCUGGCAAAGCAUGGAGUAACAGGGUUUUUUUAAUCCAGUUUUGUUUGAGAAGCCUGGGGGAGGAUAGUGUCUCUAAACUUGUAGGUUAGCCUAGUUCUGAAUAAACCACAGUGUGUGACUAAGCACACCUCAGCAGCUUUGUGUCAAGAAGCACAGGCAGAUCUGACAGCUGUGUGUGGCAGGCUGGAUCUUCAGCUGAGAUCAAGAGGGGAAAGGAGAAGUAGGAGAGAAAACCCUACCAACUUCAAAGAGGGACCCAGCUCUUUCCCUCCCCUGAAACCACGGCCCCUUGCUGCUGUGGGGUGGCUCCUGCUGGGGGCUGCCUCUGCCCAGCCCACACGGGGCAUUUCUGCUGGCUGAUGGACAAUGCUCAGCCUGUGCCUCCCCUCAACAUCUGGGCACCUGGACCCAAAGGCUCAGCUUGGUUUUGGUUUGAAAAGCUACACUAUGCCGAAGGAUGCUCUUGGAUCCUCACAGCCUUGUUGUGAUCCAUGCUCUGUUGUUUCAGGCUACGAAGUCAGUAGCUCAAUGAAUCUAAAAAGCAACAAAACGCCAGUUUGUAGUUGAAGUGCCUGGCUUGCACCAUGGAGAGGCACAAGGAAACAGGCAGGCUCUCCUUAAGCAAUAGCCCCAUAGCCACGGAUAGCGUCCUUUGCUUAUUGCCCCUCUUGACCCCAGCUUUGCCACCCCUGCCGGAGCCGUUCGCCCUUACCUUGAUCUUGAGCGGGGCGACGGGCACGUCUUUGGUGGAGACGCAGAGCAGCACGAUGCCCGUCAGUCCCGCUACGAUCACCAGCCAGGGGGGAAGGAGCUCACGCCAAGACAUGAAGCACUUUUUGUCAGAAAGUCAAAGAGGAAGCAGAGGAGCAGCGAACGCAAGCUCACAUCUGACAGCAGCUGCUUUCUACGAGCUUUAAAAAGAGGAGAAAGGCGGGGCCAGGGCCAGGCUCUGGCUUCAGCCCAGCCCCAAGCCACAGGGACCAUGAGGAGCGCGUGGGCCAGGCUGCGACGGGCCGGGCAGAGCACCCGUCUGCCAGCCAUGCACACAGUCAGUGCAACCACAGCUUCGUGCGAUUCCGGUGCUCGCUUGGCAGAGGCAUCGCCAGAACCUCGAAACCGCCCCGGGCAACGGUGUUGAGGGUAAACAGAAAUGCGGGGUGAACUCUCCUGUUUAAUAAGCAGGAAGCAGGCAAACUCAUCGCGCUGGUAUUCUGCGCCUGGCAGUGCUAGCAGGAGCUGCCAAAAUUAGAAAUGGGGAAACUCCUCGUGGCUGGGUUUCCUUUUCAUCCGAGGGCCGUGCUUGGCACUGGUGUGGACCUGAGGCGCUCCCUGCAAGGAUGCCUUCAUCUGCGAUGGGGCAGAGCACUGGCGUGCUGCCUCCAGACUGCUCGUGGUGCCUCGUCUGCACUCAGGUGGCAGCUGAGAUGGGAAAACAUCUGCAUUUUUGGGUUCCACACACAGGAGGCUCUGGCUGGCUUGCUCCUUGCUUUGGGUGGGAGGCAGCCGGGGCUGCUCAGGCCGUUUGGCCCCCAGGCCUGUAUCAGCACCAGUGCCUGCAUGCCCCUUCCCUCACAAAGACACAUCCCUGAAAACAGAGUUUCUGAGGAAGAAUCUCUUAGCCUCAGGAGAGGUGUUUCUUUCAGGCUGUUCUGCUCUGCUUCCCAGUGACUGGGUCUAGUAAUAAACCUGCAACUGCUUUAAAAUAAAUGUUUUGGCUUGUACAAACUGACCUGUUUCUUGGCAAGGCAAUCUUGACCCCAUGGCCACCAGAAGACUUCACCAGCCAGGCCUGUACCUGCAGAAUGACUAGAAGAAUGACACCAUCAGGGUGUAUUUGGAGACACAUCUCUUGGUCUGAAAGUUGUUUUAAGCCUUUAUCUUCCUGCAGAGUUCAGACUCCAGUUGAGACUUUGCUGGUGCAUAACUGGAAGGCAUAAGCAGCUGUUUUGUCUACACAAAUGCCCCACUUUGCAACAGGGACAUGGAUUAAAUCACCAGAGUGCUGACGUUCCCAUGCUUUCAUGUCUGCCCAGAAGGACAGGCAAGCUUUCACACGGCUCGCUGGGAAAGAUUCCUACCGCAGUUCAGCUUUGUGCAGCAUAGCAAGCAAAA